This 1372-nucleotide ribosomal RNA is filed under the name uncultured bacterium. RNAcentral's name for it is "bacterial SSU rRNA". It matches the Rfam family "Bacterial small subunit ribosomal RNA", at positions 28 to 1381 of the family's 1533-position model. The record is from RNAcentral.
GAUGAACGCUGGCGGCGUGCCUAAUACAUGCAAGUCGAGCGAACGGACGAGAAGCUUGCUUCUCUGAUGUUAGCGGCGGACGGGUGAGUAACACGCGGAUAACCUACCUAUAAGACUGGGAUAACUUCGGGAAACCGGAGCUAAUACCGGAUAAUAUUUUGAACCGCAUGGUUCAAAAGUGAAAGACGGUCUUGCUGUCACUUAUAGAUGGAUCCGCGCUGCAUUAGCUAGUUGGUAAGGUAACGGCUUACCAAGGCAACGAUGCAUAGCCGACCUGAGAGGGUGAUCGGCCACACUGGAACUGAGACACGGUCCAGACUCCUACGGGAGGCAGCAGUAGGGAAUCUUCCGCAAUGGGCGAAAGCCUGACGGAGCAACGCCGCGUGAGUGAUGAAGGUCUUCGGAUCGUAAAACUCUGUUAUUAGGGAAGAACAUAUGUGUAAGUAACUGUGCACAUCUUGACGGUACCUAAUCAGAAAGCCACGGCUAACUACGCGCCAGCAGCCGCGGUAAUACGUAGGUGGCAAGCGUUAUCCGGAAUUAUUGGGCGUAAAGCGCGCGUAGGCGGUUUUUUAAGUCUGAUGUGAAAGCCCACGGCUCAACCGUGGAGGGUCAUUGGAAACUGGAAAACUUGAGUGCAGAAGAGGAAAGUGGAAUUCCAUGUGUAGCGGUGAAAUGCGCAGAGAUAUGGAGGAACACCAGUGGCGAAGGCGACUUUCUGGUCUGUAACUGACGCUGAUGUGCGAAAGCGUGGGGAUCAAACAGGAUUAGAUACCCUGGUAGUCCACGCCGUAAACGAUGAGUGCUAAGUGUUAGGGGGUUUCCGCCCCUUAGUGCUGCAGCUAACGCAUUAAGCACUCCGCCUGGGGAGUACGACCGCAAGGUUGAAACUCAAAGGAAUUGACGGGGACCCGCACAAGCGGUGGAGCAUGUGGUUUAAUUCGAAGCAACGCGAAGAACCUUACCAAAUCUUGACAUCCUUUGACAACUCUAGAGAUAGAGCCUUCCCCUUCGGGGGACAAAGUGACAGGUGGUGCAUGGUUGUCGUCAGCUCGUGUCGUGAGAUGUUGGGUUAAGUCCCGCAACGAGCGCAACCCUUAAGCUUAGUUGCCAUCAUUAAGUUGGGCACUCUAAGUUGACUGCCGGUGACAAACCGGAGGAAGGUGGGGAUGACGUCAAAUCAUCAUGCCCCUUAUGAUUUGGGCUACACACGUGCUACAAUGGACAAUACAAAGGGCAGCGAAACCGCGAGGUCAAGCAAAUCCCAUAAAGUUGUUCUCAGUUCGGAUUGUAGUCUGCAACUCGACUACAUGAAGCUGGAAUCGCUAGUAAUCGUAGAUCAGCAUGCUACGGUGAAUACGUUCCCGGGUCU